RNAcentral lists this ribosomal RNA (165 nucleotides) under Trifolium repens (white clover). Its description in RNAcentral is "5.8S ribosomal RNA". It matches the Rfam family "5.8S ribosomal RNA". From Rfam's summary of the family: 5.8S ribosomal RNA (5.8S rRNA) is a component of the large subunit of the eukaryotic ribosome. It is transcribed by RNA polymerase I as part of the 45S precursor that also contains 18S and 28S rRNA. The record is from RNAcentral. Lineage: Eukaryota; Viridiplantae; Streptophyta; Magnoliopsida; Fabales; Fabaceae.
AGAAUGACUCUCGGCAACGGAUAUCUAGGCUCUUGCAUCGAUGAAGAACGUAGCGAAAUGCGAUACUUGGUGUGAAUUGCAGAAUCCCGUGAACCAUCGAGUCUUUGAACGCAAGUUGCGCCCGAUGCCAUUAGGUUGAGGGCACGUCUGCCUGGGCGUCACAUA